CUACGGGGUGCUGCAGUGAGGAAUAUUGCACAAUGGGGGGAACCCUGAUGCAGCAACGCCGCGUGGAGGAUGACGCAUUUCGGUGUGUAAACUCCUUAUAUAUGUCAAGAAAAUGACAGUAGCAUAUGAAUAAGCACCGGCUAACUCCGUGCCAGCAGCCGCGGUAAUACGGAGGGUGCAAGCGUUACUCGGAAUCACUGGGCGUAAAGGACGCGUAGGCGGGUUGGAAAGUCAGGUGUGAAAUCCUACAGCUUAACUGUAGAACUGCACUUGAAACUUCUAAUCUAGAGUAUGGGAGGGGGAGAUGGAAUUAGUGGUGUAGGGGUAACAUCCGUAGAUAUCACUAGGAAUACCUAAAGCGAAGGCGAUCUCCUGGAACAUUACUGACGCUAAGGCGUGAAAGCGUGGGGAGCAAACAGGAUUAGAUACCCUCGUAGUC
RNAcentral lists this ribosomal RNA (439 nucleotides) under uncultured bacterium. Its description in RNAcentral is "partial 16S ribosomal RNA". It matches the Rfam family "Bacterial small subunit ribosomal RNA", at positions 339 to 795 of the family's 1533-position model. The record is from RNAcentral.